GGCGUCAUAGUUUGGCUACCAACUGUACUUUGAAAAAAUUGCAGGUGUGGAGGUGGAUCAAUAUAUUCUCCAUUAAUUGUUAUGUAGGAUUAAAAAAGAGAGAAAUUAAAAACAACACAGAAAAAAGUGUAACCUACUGAAUUUGUAUUUAUAAGAGAGAGAUGAAGAGUUCAGAGACAUGUAUUGUUGAUGAAAUGCCCUCCAAUGGUUU
This 211-nucleotide long non-coding RNA is filed under the name Panax ginseng (ginseng). Its description in RNAcentral is "long non-coding RNA (PGIN_LNC000582)". The record is from RNAcentral. Lineage: Eukaryota; Viridiplantae; Streptophyta; Magnoliopsida; Apiales; Araliaceae.